This 372-nucleotide ribosomal RNA is filed under the name uncultured organism. RNAcentral describes it as "bacterial SSU rRNA". It matches the Rfam family "Bacterial small subunit ribosomal RNA", at positions 526 to 896 of the family's 1533-position model. The record is from RNAcentral.
CAGAGACUGCAAGCGUUAUUCGGAUUCACUGGGCGUAAAGGGUGCGCAGGCGGCCAAGUGUGUUAGGCGUGAAAGCCCGGGGCUUAACCCCGGAAUUGCACCUAAAACUACAUGGCUAGAGCAUUGGAGAGGGUAGCGGAAUUCACGGUGUAGCAGUGAAAUGCGUAGAUAUCGUGAGGAACACCAGAGGCGAAGGCGGCUACCUGGACAAUUGCUGACGCUCAGGCACGAAAGCGUGGGGAGCAAAAGGGAUUAGAUACCCCUGUAGUCCACGCCCUAAACGGUGCACACUAGGUCUUGGCGGAUUCGACCCCACCAGGGCCCAAGCUAACGCGUUAAGUGUGCCGCCUGAGGACUACGGCCGCAAGGCUA